GGUUAUUUAGUUUAUAUAAAACAAAUGUUUUGAAAACAUUAAAAAAGUAAAGAUACUUAUUAAUCG
This 66-nucleotide transfer RNA is filed under the name Trapezia formosa. RNAcentral describes it as "tRNA-Ser". The record is from RNAcentral. Lineage: Eukaryota; Metazoa; Arthropoda; Malacostraca; Decapoda; Trapeziidae.